CUUCUCCCCGCACGCGGGGCGAAGGAGACUCGCGGCGCUCGCUCGAUUCGUGCCGCUUGUCCCUUCUCCCCGCUUGCGGGGAGAAGCGCG
Molecule: small RNA, 90 nt
Filed under: Sinorhizobium meliloti 2011
Lineage: Bacteria; Pseudomonadati; Pseudomonadota; Alphaproteobacteria; Hyphomicrobiales; Rhizobiaceae
Description: putative ncRNA
Source: RNAcentral